UACGUAGGGUGCAAGCGUUAAUCGGAAUUACUGGGCGUAAAGCGUGCGCAGGCGGUGAUGUAAGUCAGGUGUGAAAUCCCCGGGCUUAACCUGGGAACUGCAUUUGUGGCUGCACCGCUGGAGUGCGGCAGAGGGGGAUGGAAUUCCGCGUGUAGCAGUGAAAUGCGUAGAUAUGCGGAGGAACACCGAUGGCGAAGGCAAUCCCCUGGGCCUGCACUGACGCUCAUGCACGAAAGCGUGGGGAGCAAACAGG
Molecule: ribosomal RNA, 253 nt
Filed under: uncultured bacterium
Lineage: Bacteria
Description: partial 16S ribosomal RNA
Rfam family: Bacterial small subunit ribosomal RNA
Source: RNAcentral